Molecule: unclassified non-coding RNA, 390 nt
Filed under: soil metagenome
Description: partial contains 5.8S ribosomal RNA, internal transcribed spacer 2, and large subunit ribosomal RNA
Rfam family: 5.8S ribosomal RNA (bases 1-121)
Source: RNAcentral
GAUGAAGACGUAGCGAAAUGCGAUACUUGGUGUGAAUUGCAGAAUCCCGUGAACCAUCGAGUCUUUGAACGCAAGUUGCGCCCGAAGCUAUUAGGCCGAGGGCACGCCUGCCUGGGCGUCACACGUCGUUGCCCCCCCAUCUACUCCUUCGGGAUUGCGGGGGGCGGAUGAUGGCCUCUCGUGCGCCUCGUCGCGCGGUUGGCCUAAAUGCCAAGUCCUCGGCGACGCACGCCACGACAAUCGGUGGUUGCGAAACCUCGGUUGCCUGUCGUGUGCGGUCGUCGCGCAUCGAGGGCUCGAAAAAAUUGCCGGGCUUCGGCUCGACUUUCAACGCGACCCCAGGUCAGGCGGGGUUACCCGCUGAAUUUAAGCAUAUCAAUAAGCGGAGGA